UGGGGGAUAUUGCACAAUGGGCGAAAGCCUGAUGCAGCGACGCCGCGUGGGGGAUGAAGGCCUUCGGGUUGUAAACUUCUUUUGCUCUGAACAAGGCAUGCCUUUGGGGUGUGUUGAGUGUAGGGGUUGAUUAGCGCCGGCUAACUACGUGCCAGCAGCCGCGGUAAUACGUAGGGCGCGAGCGUUGUCCGGAAUUAUUGGGCGUAAAGGGCUUGUAGGUGGCUGGUUGCGUCUGUCGUGAAAGCUCAUGGCUUAACUGUGGGUUUGCGGUGGGUACGGGCUGGCUUGAGGGCAGUAGGGGGGGCUGGAAUUCCUGGGGUAGGGGUGGAAUGCGCGGAUAUCAGGAGGAAUAACGGUGGCGAAGGCGGGUCUCUGGGCUGUAACUGACGCUGAGGAGCGGAAGCGUGGGGAGCGAACAGG
This 420-nucleotide ribosomal RNA is filed under the name Fusobacteriota bacterium. RNAcentral describes it as "Fusobacteria bacterium partial 16S ribosomal RNA". It matches the Rfam family "Bacterial small subunit ribosomal RNA", at positions 355 to 776 of the family's 1533-position model. Lineage: Bacteria; Fusobacteriati; Fusobacteriota. The record is from RNAcentral.